This is a non-coding RNA of Pelobates cultripes (western spadefoot toad), 1135 nucleotides long. Lineage: Eukaryota; Metazoa; Chordata; Amphibia; Anura; Pelobatidae. The record is from the annotation of a GenBank genome assembly.
UCUAACACUGCCCAGACUUUCUGUGGCUGUCCAAUGUAGCUCAAUGAGAAGUCUUUGCAAGGCAGGUGCUCUGAGCAAUUGAUGCCUCUUGUGUUUAGUUCCACUGCGAAUCAUCUAGGAAGUAACAGGACCAGUUGUCUGGCAGUCAGGAGCGUGUUACAAGGUUAAUUUAUAAAAGUGCCAAUUUCUAUCAAUGUGAACUUUUUGUAAAAAUAAGGCAAAUCUGCUUAACCUUGAUUAGUGUUUGGCAGAGCCAGCAUGCUGGAUCUUUUGCAUUAUAGGGAGAUCUCCCUGUCCUGCUCUAUAAAAAAAAAAAAAAAAUGUAUAUAUGGCAAUUGUUACUUUUGUAAGCUUUUAAAAAAAAAAAAAAAUUCACUUUGCUGAUGGUGGCAGGGGGAAACCGGGUUAAUAUUAGGACCAGCAAUAAAGUUCCUCUUCUGAAAUCAUCAGGAGCCAUCUUAACAGUAUUAGGGUGCGGGUUGAUACUUGGCAGAGGUGUAUAUAUAAGGGAUUAUUGUUGUACUCACAAAAUGUUGCAGGGAAUCUUGUUACAGUGGCACACAUGAGAAAACCAAAUACAAGUUGUAUAUAAAAUUUUCCUUGCAAACUUUGAGGGGGAAAAGUGCACCUCACAAAAGUUCAAAAUAUAUUGUGCAUGACUACAUUUGCAAAUGGUAUGCCUUAAUUAUGUAAUUUAAAGGUUCUACUAAAAUGCCUCAAAGUGCAACACAGAUUCAUCUUUAAUUUUUUUUUUUUUUUUUUGUGUAAUUCAGCCCUGUAUUUUCACACAAACUUGACUGGUUGGAUGGAAAGGUGGUUAUUCUGUACUCGAGAUAUAGUAGAGCACAAUUUAGUGAUUUUCAAAAAUUAUUACUGCAGCACACAGUACAAAAUAAAUAGCUAGAUUGCAAUGUGCAUGUGAAAAAAAAAAUCAAAAACAAAGUAUGAUUGGGCCCAUCAAAUCAAUCUGGCAAAAUUCGAACGGUAAAAAUUGGAAUAGGUCUCUUGCACCUCUCUUUAGUUUAGUGGUAACAGCAUACAUUGGGGGUAUUUUUUUUAUUUUUUUACUCGGCUUGCGGAUCAUAAUUUGGGUGGGAUUUAUCAUAGUGGCACAUAAUGAGAUUUGGAAAAUGCC